CCCUCCUGGGAGCGCAUGCGGAU
RNAcentral lists this non-coding RNA (23 nucleotides) under Cricetulus griseus (Chinese hamster). The record is from RNAcentral. Lineage: Eukaryota; Metazoa; Chordata; Mammalia; Rodentia; Cricetidae.